Molecule: ribosomal RNA, 253 nt
Filed under: uncultured bacterium
Lineage: Bacteria
Description: partial 16S ribosomal RNA
Rfam family: Bacterial small subunit ribosomal RNA
Source: RNAcentral
UACGAAGGGGGCUAGCGUUGUUCGGAUUUACUGGGCGUAAAGCGCACGUAGGCGGAUCGUUAAGUCGGGGGUGAAAUCCUGGAGCUCAACUCCAGAACUGCCUUCGAUACUGGCGAUCUAGAGUCCGGAAGAGGUGAGUGGAACUCCUAGUGUAGAGGUGGAAUUCGUAGAUAUUAGGAAGAACACCAGUGGCGAAGGCGGCUCACUGGUCCGGUACUGACGCUGAGGCACGAAAGCGUGGGGAGCAAACAGG